AUGAAUGUAUACCGUAUAUUGCUAUGACUUCUACAUGGGCUUUUCUAUCAUUAUCAUUUUCUGUAAAAUCUUUAUUUUCUUUAUUCUCAUUGAAAAACCUUGUUGUUUUUAUAUUUUUUAUAUAAAUUUUAGGUACGGCAUGCCGUACCAACGAACAUUAUUGGUACGGCGAGUGCCGUACCUGCCGUACCGGCUGCUACGCCCCUGCAUAA
Molecule: long non-coding RNA, 212 nt
Filed under: Mytilus galloprovincialis (Mediterranean mussel)
Lineage: Eukaryota; Metazoa; Mollusca; Bivalvia; Mytilida; Mytilidae
Source: RNAcentral